CAGAGGCAAGAAUUAGAUGAAAACAUUUCCAAAGUUUCUAAGGAAAGGCAGGAACUUGCUUCUAAAAUUAAAGAGGUUCAAGGACGCCCACAGAAAACACAGAGUAUCAUCAUCUUAGAGUCCCAUAUCAUCUGCUGCACGUUGAGCACAAGUGGUGGUUUACUACUUGAGUCUGCUUUCCGUGGGCAAGGGGGUGUCCCCUUCAGCUGUGUCAUUGUUGAUGAGGUCAGUGAACGGUCAGCCAUACAACUUUGACUACUACUAUGAGGAGUAAGUCUUAGAUGAAUUGUGGCUGCUGAAAUGUUGAGGAAAUGUGUUUUUUUUUUUUGCAUCUGAUUUUCACUUGCUAUUACCUGUGUAUUCCCUUAUGUAGAAAUAUACUCCUUAAUGACCCUCCAUAGUGAAAGUGGAUUUUCCAGUAUUGGGGGUUAGUCUUGAGGAUGACUGAUGGUUUCUAACAAAAUCUCUGCUGAGUGACUGUCUCACUCCUGCUUAGAAUAUCUCUGGUAACCUUUUGAAGUAGUUUUAAUAUAAUUUUGGAUAGCUUUGAGCCACAGUAUGUUCACCUGAUGUCUUUUAUUCCUAGUUCACUCUUUGAGCAAACAUUUAUUGGGUACGUACUGUUUGUCAGAACGUAGAGUCAGAAGACAAAAGAGAUGGAGCAGGAGAUACCAGAGAAUUGAGUGAUCAGGAGACCCAAGAUCCAGUUUUCACCAGAA
This 719-nucleotide long non-coding RNA is filed under the name Homo sapiens (human). RNAcentral's name for it is "non-protein coding lnc-TTF1-1:1". The record is from RNAcentral. Lineage: Eukaryota; Metazoa; Chordata; Mammalia; Primates; Hominidae.